This 253-nucleotide ribosomal RNA is filed under the name uncultured bacterium. RNAcentral's name for it is "partial 16S ribosomal RNA". It matches the Rfam family "Bacterial small subunit ribosomal RNA", at positions 524 to 776 of the family's 1533-position model. The record is from RNAcentral.
GACAGAGGGGGCAAGCGUUGCUCGGAAUUACUGGGCGUAAAGGGCGCGUAGGCGGCCUGUUAAGUCGGACGUGAAAUCCCUCGGCUCAACCGGGGAACUGCGUCCGAAACUGGCGGGCUUGAAUUCGGGAGAGGGAUGUGGAAUUCCAGGUGUAGCGGUGAAAUGCGUAGAUAUCUGGAGGAACACCGGUGGCGAAGGCGGCAUCCUGGACCGACAUUGACGCUGAGGCGCGAAAGCCAGGGGAGCAAACGGG